GAUGAACGCCGGCGGCGUGCCUAACACAUGCAAGUCGAGCGAACCCUUCGGGGUGAGCGGCGGACGGGUGAGUAACGCGUGGGUAACCUGCCCUAUACACACGGAUAACGUACCGAAAGGUACGCUAAUACGGAAUAAAGUUGUUGGAUGGCAUCUUCUAACAAUCAAAGCUCCGGCGGUAUAGGAUGGACCCGCGUCUGAUUAGCUAGUUGGUGAGGUAAUGGCUCACCAAGGCGACGAUCAGUAGCCGACCUGAGAGGGUGAUCCGCCACACUGGAACUGAGACACGGUCCAGACUCCCACGGGAGGCAGCAGUGGGGAAUAUUGCACAAUGGGCGAAAGCCUGAUGCAGCAACGCCGCGUGAGCGAUGAAGGUCUUCGGAUCGUAAAGCUCUGUCCUCAAGGAAGAUAAUGACGGUACUUGAGGAGGAAGCCCCGGCUAACUACGUGCCAGCCGCCGCCGUAA
This 466-nucleotide ribosomal RNA is filed under the name uncultured bacterium. RNAcentral's name for it is "partial 16S ribosomal RNA". It matches the Rfam family "Bacterial small subunit ribosomal RNA", at positions 28 to 523 of the family's 1533-position model. The record is from RNAcentral.